This 477-nucleotide ribosomal RNA is filed under the name uncultured bacterium. RNAcentral's name for it is "partial 16S ribosomal RNA". It matches the Rfam family "Bacterial small subunit ribosomal RNA", at positions 30 to 507 of the family's 1533-position model. The record is from RNAcentral.
AUUGAACGCUGGCGGCAUGCUUUACACAUGCAAGUCGAACGGUAACAGGUUAAGCUGACGAGUGGCGAACGGGUGAGUAAUGCAUCGGAACGUGCCCGAUCGUGGGGGAUAACGCAGCGAAAGCUGCGCUAAUACCGCAUACGAUCUGAGGAUGAAAGCGGGGGCCCGUAAGGCCUCGCGCGAUCGGAGCGGCCGAUGUCAGAUUAGGUAGUUGGUGGGGUAAAGGCUCACCAAGCCGACGAUCUGUAGCUGGUCUGAGAGGACGACCAGCCACACUGGGACUGAGACACGGCCCAGACUCCUACGGGAGGCAGCAGUGGGGAAUUUUGGACAAUGGGCGCAAGCCUGAUCCAGCAAUGCCGCGUGCAGGAAGAAGGCCUUCGGGUUGUAAACUGCUUUUGUACGGAGCGAAAAGGCUCUCUCUAAUACAGGGGGCUCAUGACGGUACCGUAAGAAUAAGCACCGGCUAACUACGUG